GAUCCUACGGGAGGCAGCAGUGGGGAAUAUUGGACAAUGGGGGGAACCCUGAUCCAGCGACGCCGCGUGAGUGAAGAAGUAUUUCGGUAUGUAAAGCUCUAUCAGCAGGGAAGAAGAUGACGGUACCUGAAUAAGAAGCCCCGGCUAACUACGUGCCAGCAGCCGCGGUAAUACGUAGGGGGCAAGCGUUAUCCGGAUUUACUGGGUGUAAAGGGAGCGUAGACGGCUGCGCAAGUCUGAAGUGAAAGCCCGGGGCUCAACCCCGGGACUGCUUUGGAAACUGUGUAGCUAGAGUGCUGGAGAGG
RNAcentral lists this ribosomal RNA (305 nucleotides) under uncultured bacterium. RNAcentral describes it as "bacterial SSU rRNA". It matches the Rfam family "Bacterial small subunit ribosomal RNA", at positions 335 to 657 of the family's 1533-position model. The record is from RNAcentral.